RNAcentral lists this unclassified non-coding RNA (21 nucleotides) under Mus musculus (house mouse). RNAcentral describes it as "oocyte_clustered_small_RNA13378". Lineage: Eukaryota; Metazoa; Chordata; Mammalia; Rodentia; Muridae. The record is from RNAcentral.
GUCGCUACCUGACCGUGGCCA